AUACGGAGGAUGCGAGCGUUAUCCGGAUUUAUUGGGUUUAAAGGGUGCGUAGGCGGAGGAUCAAGUCUGUGGUGAAAGGUUCGGGCCCAACCUGGAUCGUGCCAUGGAAACUGGUUGCCUUGAAUAGAGGUGCCGUUGGCGGAAUGCGUAGUGUAGCGGUGAAAUGCUUAGAUAUUACACAGAACACCGAUUGCGAAAGCAGCUGACGAACCACCGAUUGACGCUGAUGCCCGAAAGUGCUGGUAUCGAACAGGAUUAGAUACCCUGGUAGUCCGCACAGUAAACGAUGACAACUGGCUGUUGGCGAUACACCGUUCAGUAGCGUAGCGAAAGCGUUAAGUUGUCCACCUGGGGAGUACGACCGCAAGGUUGAAACUCAAAUGAAUUGACGGGG
Molecule: ribosomal RNA, 394 nt
Filed under: uncultured bacterium
Lineage: Bacteria
Description: partial 16S ribosomal RNA
Rfam family: Bacterial small subunit ribosomal RNA
Source: RNAcentral